AUACGGAGAGGGCUAGCGUUGUUCGGAAUUACUGGGCGUAAAGCGUACGCAGGCGGUUGGUUAAGCGAGAUGUGAAAUCCCCGGGCUCAACCUGGGAACUGCAUUUCGAACUGGCCAACUAGAGUAUGAGAGAGGGUGGUUGAAUUUCAGGUGUAGCGGUGAAAUGCGUAGAGAUCUGAAGGAAUACCGAUGGCGAAGGCAGCCACCUGGUUCAAUACUGACGCUCAUGUACGAAAGCGUGGGGAGCAAACAGCAUUAGAUACCCCAGUAGUCC
This 274-nucleotide ribosomal RNA is filed under the name uncultured bacterium. Its description in RNAcentral is "partial 16S ribosomal RNA". It matches the Rfam family "Bacterial small subunit ribosomal RNA", at positions 523 to 796 of the family's 1533-position model. The record is from RNAcentral.